This 255-nucleotide long non-coding RNA is filed under the name Lathyrus oleraceus (garden pea). RNAcentral describes it as "Pisum sativum (pea) long non-coding RNA (PSAT_LNC005070)". The record is from RNAcentral. Lineage: Eukaryota; Viridiplantae; Streptophyta; Magnoliopsida; Fabales; Fabaceae.
UGAUUGAUAGCUUGGAGCAAGUUGAUAGAGAUAAUGUUGGACAGGCCAAGGAAACAGAAGCCCAAACCACUAGUGAGAGGUCUGAAUCUCAAGAUGAAUCAAGUGGCAGUUCUGGUUCUGAAGCUGAUGAAGAUGCAAGCUCCUUUGAAUAGUUUUGUUGCAGUUGUCCCCCAUUGUUCUGAUGGUGUGCUGUUCUGGAUGUUUUUUUUUUGCAGUCAUGUUUUGAUGCCUUGAUGUAUUUUUUUUGGGUUCUUU